GUCCAGGGGCGGGAAUCGAACCCACAACUUUCUGCUUACCGGGCAGGUGCCUUGUCCACUAGGCUACCCUGGA
RNAcentral lists this transfer RNA (73 nucleotides) under Cordylochernes scorpioides. RNAcentral's name for it is "tRNA-Thr". The record is from RNAcentral. Lineage: Eukaryota; Metazoa; Arthropoda; Arachnida; Pseudoscorpiones; Chernetidae.